UACAGAGGUCCCAAGCGUUGUUCGGAUUCACUGGGCGUAAAGGGUGCGUAGGUGGUGAGGCAAGUUCGGUGUGAAAUCUCCGGGCUCAACCUGGGAAUGGCAUUGGAAACUGGCGGGCUUGAGUGUGGCAGAGGGGGGUGGAAUUCCGCGUGUAGCAGUGAAAUGCGUAGAGAUGCGGAGGAACACCGAUGGCGAAGGCAGCCCCCUGGGCUGACACUGACGCUCAGGCACGAAAGCGUGGGGAGCAAACAGG
Molecule: ribosomal RNA, 253 nt
Filed under: uncultured bacterium
Lineage: Bacteria
Description: partial 16S ribosomal RNA
Rfam family: Bacterial small subunit ribosomal RNA
Source: RNAcentral